Small nuclear RNA from Peromyscus leucopus (white-footed mouse), 104 nucleotides. Lineage: Eukaryota; Metazoa; Chordata; Mammalia; Rodentia; Cricetidae. The record is from RefSeq and is a predicted model, not a curated record.
GCGCUCACUCCAGCAGCACGUAUACUAAAAUCGGAACAAUACAGAGAUUAGCACGGCCCCUGGGCAAAGAUGAUACGCAAAUUUGUGAAGCGUUCUGUAUUUAA